GUCACGCGCUUCCGUGUGAUUCGCUACAACCAGGGCGAUGACGAGGACGAGAUCACGUUCGGCGGACCGCUUCCGCAGCAGACGGUCGAGGGCUCGACCACAACAAUUUCCGCACCUGCCGUGCUGGCCGGCGUCGAAGCCCCGGAGUCUUCGCUCCUAGGGCUCACGGUCGGACCCAACCCCGCCCGUGCCGGACAAACGCUCAGGUUCGUGACCCGGAUACGCCCCGUGGGACCGCUCGGCAUCUUCGAUGUCAGCGGCCGCCGCGUGGCCCAGGCGCCGUUCGUCCACACCGGCGUUGGGCUCUGGGAAGCGCGCUGGGCCAGCCUUGCCGCCGAUGACACACCCCGCG
RNAcentral lists this unclassified non-coding RNA (352 nucleotides) under uncultured bacterium. RNAcentral's name for it is "contains 16S-23S intergenic spacer region". The record is from RNAcentral.